AAGGCUUUAGCUUAAUUAAAGUAUCUGUUUUGCAUACAGGAGAUGUGGGUUAGUAUCCUGCAAGUCUUA
This 69-nucleotide transfer RNA is filed under the name Paratilapia polleni (Pollen's cichlid). RNAcentral's name for it is "tRNA-Ala". It matches the Rfam family "tRNA". From Rfam's summary of the family: Transfer RNA (tRNA) molecules are approximately 80 nucleotides in length. Their secondary structure includes four short double-helical elements and three loops (D, anti-codon, and T loops). Further hydrogen bonds mediate the characteristic L-shaped molecular structure. tRNAs have two regions of fundamental functional importance: the anti-codon, which is responsible for specific mRNA codon recognition, and the 3' end, to which the tRNAs corresponding amino acid is attached (by aminoacyl-tRNA synthetases). tRNAs cope with the degeneracy of the genetic code in two manners: having more than one tRNA (with a specific anti-codon) for a particular amino acid; and 'wobble' base-pairing, i.e. permitting non-standard base-pairing at the 3rd anti-codon position. Lineage: Eukaryota; Metazoa; Chordata; Actinopteri; Cichliformes; Cichlidae. The record is from RNAcentral.